This 461-nucleotide ribosomal RNA is filed under the name uncultured bacterium. RNAcentral's name for it is "bacterial SSU rRNA". It matches the Rfam family "Bacterial small subunit ribosomal RNA", at positions 339 to 797 of the family's 1533-position model. The record is from RNAcentral.
AUACGGGAGGCAGCAGUGGGGAAUAUUGGUCAAUGGACGCAAGUCUGAACCAGCUAUGCCGCGUGAAGGAUGAAGGCCCUCUGGGUUGUAAACUUCUUUUAUCUGGGACGAAAAAAGCUCUUUCUAGAGCACUUGACGGUACAAGAGGAAUAAGCACCGGCUAACUCCGUGCCAGCAGCCGCGGUAAUACGGAGGGUGCAAGCGUUAUCCGGAUUUACUGGGUUUAAAGGGUGCGUAGGUGGGUCUGUAAGUCAGUGGUGAAAUCUCCGAGCUUAACUCGGAAACUGCCAUUGAUACUAUAGGUCUUGAAUUAUCUGGAGGUAAGCGGAAUAUGUCAUGUAGCGGUGAAAUGCUUAGAUAUGACAUAGAACACCAAUUGCGAAGGCAGCUUACUACGGAUCGAUUGACACUGAGGCACGAAAGCGUGGGGAUCAAACAGGAUUAGAUACCCGUGUAGUCCU